This is a small nucleolar RNA of Otolemur garnettii (small-eared galago), 97 nucleotides long. The record is from Ensembl. NCBI's taxonomy places the organism in Eukaryota, Metazoa, Chordata, Mammalia, Primates, Galagidae.
AUCUAACUCAUAAGUAUGUAGUCAGGUUUUCAUGCUCAUGUGUGACAUGUGCCUCUCUCAAACCUUUAUAUGACAUUAGCACAUUACUUGUCUGCUG